AGCAGCCGCGGUAAUUCCAGCUCCAAUAGCGUAUAUUAAAGUUGUUGCAGUUAAAAAGCUCGUAGUUGAAUUUCGGGGUUAGUAGGUUGGUCAUGCCUCUGGUAUGUACUGGUCUCACUGAUUCCUCCUUCCUGAUGAGCCGUAAUGCCAUUAAUUUGGUGUUACGGGGAAUUUGGACUGUUACUUUGAAAAAAUUAGAGUGUUUAAAGCAAGCUAACGCUUGAAUACAUUAGCAUGGAAUAAUGAAAUAGGACGCUCGAUCCUAUUUUGUUGGUUUCUAGGAUUGACGUAAUGAUUAAUAGGGAUAGUUGGGGGCAUUAGUAUUCAAUUGUCAGAGGUGAAAUUCUUGGAUUUAUUGAAGACUAACUACUGCGAAAGCAUUUGCCAAGGAUGUUUUCAUUAAUCAAGAACGAAAGUUAGGGGAUCGAAGACGAUCAGAUACCGUCGUAGUCUUAACCAUAAACUAUGCCGACUAGGGAUCGGAUGAUGUUAAUUUUUAAUGACUCAUUCGGCGCCUUAA
RNAcentral lists this ribosomal RNA (520 nucleotides) under uncultured Glomus. Its description in RNAcentral is "SSU rRNA". It matches the Rfam family "Eukaryotic small subunit ribosomal RNA", at positions 569 to 1091 of the family's 1831-position model. Lineage: Eukaryota; Fungi; Glomeromycota; Glomeromycetes; Glomerales; Glomeraceae. The record is from RNAcentral.